RNAcentral lists this long non-coding RNA (1501 nucleotides) under Linum usitatissimum (flax). RNAcentral's name for it is "long non-coding RNA (LUSI_LNC006607)". The record is from RNAcentral. Lineage: Eukaryota; Viridiplantae; Streptophyta; Magnoliopsida; Malpighiales; Linaceae.
GUGGAGGUUGUUGCUGAGAGCCACACCACGUAUAAAAUGAAUGAUUUAGGCUGUUGGCUGCAUCGACUGGCCGGAUAAUAUUCGAUGGCUUCCAUACGUACGGUGCAGCAGUAGUAUACAGUAUACACCGGCUCACAGGAAAGAAAGAAGAGACGAAGUCAAAGUCAGCAUUUUGGAUUUGAAGUGGCUUUUUUCCCUCGUUUGAAUCAAGUAGAAGUAAGUUUCUCCAAAUGAAGUAGGCUGGCUAGUAAACGUCGUUAAUAACGGCAAGCAACUGAGGUGAGAGGACAUCAUCAGCUCAACUUUGUUUACUGCUAUUCGCCUUCAAUUUCCGUUGGCCACCCUUCUUUUCUUAGGUAACUUGUUUCAUCUCUUUCCUUUUAACAUAAUAUGCUCCUGACUUGGUUAACAAACAGCUGCAAUCGAUCCCUUAGGUUUGUCCGAAAUCAUAAAAUCUAUUCUCUUCGUAUCAAAAGUAAUCGCGUCGUCCAUCUCGUUAGCGGAUUUAACGAAAGUGUCCUCUCGGCGUUAGGCCCACUCCAUCCGAGUAGGAAGCUUAAACCGAACCGAAAAUUACGCCGACUUAAAACUCAAUUUAACUCGGUUGGUUAGGUACUCACAUAACCGGCUGAAAUAACUGGUUGAAUUUUUGGGUUAGUGGUGAGACGUGAAGGAUCUCUACAACGGAUUUUUGUGUAUCGGUUUUUUCCAACCGAUAGUAUAGACGGCACACACACAUUCGGUUUGGAGUAGUCCGAUAAAAAGAGAAACAUUUCGAUAAAAAUAUUUUGCAAGAGUAUUUAGUCCGAUAUGAUAUGAUAUAUCAAUUAUAUUAAUUUUUCAACUUAGAACUUUCAUUCCUGAUCACAUUCGAAAAAAUAAUAAUUGGACAACCCUAAUAAGCAAUAACCGAGUAUUGAAUUAAUAACCGGUUAUUGAGUCCACCCAUUACCAAUUACUCUCUGGUUAGCCAUUCUAGAAUCAAGACAUACAGACUAACAUUAAUAUUUUCGUUUUAGGCAAAUUUCCCACUGAGAAAUAUGAAUCAUGUGUUGUUCAUGCGCAACUCGUAAGUUGUUAGUGCUCUCCGUCCAACCGGCCACUAAAAUGCCGCAUUUCCUCCCACUUUUGCCUACAUUGUCAAGGAUUUUGACGUAACAAGUUCAGUUAUAGGCUUGGUGGGUCACCCCCUGGUUUUAUACACAUAGCAGAGCAUGAAAGCCAAUCAUUUCUGCAAUCAAUGCAGGGCACUUUUAACUAGGACGGUUGACCAGCCAAGCCGUUCACGAGCAAGGGUGAAGACAGCCCGUUGUCAGGAGAGGCUUUCUAUUAAACUAAGGUCUCUUGUAGCGAGCAGCUUGGCAUUCGGCUAAAAAUGCUUUUUUAACGACUUGUCUCGAGUUUAAAUGAGCUAAAUUUGAAUUAGGGUAUAUUUGAUUUGAUAGGCUUGCGAGCUGGCUCGAGCUCAAAAGUCAAUUUGAAUAUUAACUCGAGUAUAAGG